UAUUACUCUGCGCCCUCCUUGCAUUCGAGCGGUAAGGCCCUUCGGGUACACGAGAGGCGAACGGGUGAGUAACACGUGAGCAACCUGCCCCUGACUCCGGGAUAAGCCGGGGAAACCCGGUCUAAUACCGGAUGGGACGCCUCGUCGCAUGGCGGGGUGUGGAAAGGUGUCUUUCCGGUCAGGGAGGGGCUCGCGGCCUAUCAGCUUGUUGGUGGGGUGAAGGCCUACCAAGGCGAUUACGGGUAGCCGGCCUGAGAGGGCGACCGGCCACACUGGGACUGAGACACGGCCCAGACUCGUACGGGAGGCAGCAGUGGGGAAUAUUGCGCAAUGGGCGGAAGCCUGACGCAGCGACGCCGCGUGGGGGAUGACGGCCUUCGGGUUGUAAACCUCUUUUACCACCGACGCAGGCCCGCGCUUCUGUGCGGGUUGACGGUAGGUGGGGAAUAAGGACCGGCCAACUACGUGCCAGCAGCCGCGGUAAUACGUAGGGUCCGAGCGUUGUCCGGAAUUAUUGGGCGUAAAGAGCUCGUAGGUGGCGUGUCGCGUCUGCUGUGUAAGUCCGGGGCUUAACUCCGGUUUUGCAGUGGAUACGGGCAUGCUAGAGGUAGGCAGGGGAGACUGGAAUUCCUGGUGUAGCGGUGAAAUGCGCAGAUAUCAGGAGGAACACCGGUGGCGAAGGCGGGUCUCUGGGCCUUACCUGACGCUGAGGAGCGAAAGCGUGGGGAGCGAACAGGAUUAGAUACCCUGGUAGUCCACGCUGUAAACGUUGGGCGCUAGGUGUGGGGACUUUCCACGGUUUCCGUGCCGUAGCUAACGCAUUAAGCGCCCCGCCUGGGGAGUACGGCCGCAAGGCUAAAACUCAAAGGAAUUGACGGGGGCCCGCACAAGCGGCGGAGCAUGUUGCUUAAUUCGACGCAA
This 921-nucleotide ribosomal RNA is filed under the name Streptomonospora sp. YIM 91522. RNAcentral's name for it is "bacterial SSU rRNA". It matches the Rfam family "Bacterial small subunit ribosomal RNA", at positions 47 to 959 of the family's 1533-position model. The record is from RNAcentral. Lineage: Bacteria; Bacillati; Actinomycetota; Actinomycetes; Streptosporangiales; Nocardiopsidaceae.